RNAcentral lists this ribosomal RNA (2904 nucleotides) under Escherichia coli. Its description in RNAcentral is "23S ribosomal RNA". It matches the Rfam family "Bacterial large subunit ribosomal RNA". The record is from RNAcentral. RNAcentral also lists the same sequence under 1 other name. Lineage: Bacteria; Pseudomonadati; Pseudomonadota; Gammaproteobacteria; Enterobacterales; Enterobacteriaceae.
GGUUAAGCGACUAAGCGUACACGGUGGAUGCCCUGGCAGUCAGAGGCGAUGAAGGACGUGCUAAUCUGCGAUAAGCGUCGGUAAGGUGAUAUGAACCGUUAUAACCGGCGAUUUCCGAAUGGGGAAACCCAGUGUGUUUCGACACACUAUCAUUAACUGAAUCCAUAGGUUAAUGAGGCGAACCGGGGGAACUGAAACAUCUAAGUACCCCGAGGAAAAGAAAUCAACCGAGAUUCCCCCAGUAGCGGCGAGCGAACGGGGAGGAGCCCAGAGCCUGAAUCAGUGUGUGUGUUAGUGGAAGCGUCUGGAAAGGCGCGCGAUACAGGGUGACAGCCCCGUACACAAAAAUGCACAUGCUGUGAGCUCGAUGAGUAGGGCGGGACACGUGGUAUCCUGUCUGAAUAUGGGGGGACCAUCCUCCAAGGCUAAAUACUCCUGACUGACCGAUAGUGAACCAGUACCGUGAGGGAAAGGCGAAAAGAACCCCGGCGAGGGGAGUGAAAAAGAACCUGAAACCGUGUACGUACAAGCAGUGGGAGCACGCUUAGGCGUGUGACUGCGUACCUUUUGUAUAAUGGGUCAGCGACUUAUAUUCUGUAGCAAGGUUAACCGAAUAGGGGAGCCGAAGGGAAACCGAGUCUUAACUGGGCGUUAAGUUGCAGGGUAUAGACCCGAAACCCGGUGAUCUAGCCAUGGGCAGGUUGAAGGUUGGGUAACACUAACUGGAGGACCGAACCGACUAAUGUUGAAAAAUUAGCGGAUGACUUGUGGCUGGGGGUGAAAGGCCAAUCAAACCGGGAGAUAGCUGGUUCUCCCCGAAAGCUAUUUAGGUAGCGCCUCGUGAAUUCAUCUCCGGGGGUAGAGCACUGUUUCGGCAAGGGGGUCAUCCCGACUUACCAACCCGAUGCAAACUGCGAAUACCGGAGAAUGUUAUCACGGGAGACACACGGCGGGUGCUAACGUCCGUCGUGAAGAGGGAAACAACCCAGACCGCCAGCUAAGGUCCCAAAGUCAUGGUUAAGUGGGAAACGAUGUGGGAAGGCCCAGACAGCCAGGAUGUUGGCUUAGAAGCAGCCAUCAUUUAAAGAAAGCGUAAUAGCUCACUGGUCGAGUCGGCCUGCGCGGAAGAUGUAACGGGGCUAAACCAUGCACCGAAGCUGCGGCAGCGACGCUUAUGCGUUGUUGGGUAGGGGAGCGUUCUGUAAGCCUGUGAAGGUGUGCUGUGAGGCAUGCUGGAGGUAUCAGAAGUGCGAAUGCUGACAUAAGUAACGAUAAAGCGGGUGAAAAGCCCGCUCGCCGGAAGACCAAGGGUUCCUGUCCAACGUUAAUCGGGGCAGGGUGAGUCGACCCCUAAGGCGAGGCCGAAAGGCGUAGUCGAUGGGAAACAGGUUAAUAUUCCUGUACUUGGUGUUACUGCGAAGGGGGGACGGAGAAGGCUAUGUUGGCCGGGCGACGGUUGUCCCGGUUUAAGCGUGUAGGCUGGUUUUCCAGGCAAAUCCGGAAAAUCAAGGCUGAGGCGUGAUGACGAGGCACUACGGUGCUGAAGCAACAAAUGCCCUGCUUCCAGGAAAAGCCUCUAAGCAUCAGGUAACAUCAAAUCGUACCCCAAACCGACACAGGUGGUCAGGUAGAGAAUACCAAGGCGCUUGAGAGAACUCGGGUGAAGGAACUAGGCAAAAUGGUGCCGUAACUUCGGGAGAAGGCACGCUGAUAUGUAGGUGAAGCGACUUGCUCGUGGAGCUGAAAUCAGUCGAAGAUACCAGCUGGCUGCAACUGUUUAUUAAAAACACAGCACUGUGCAAACACGAAAGUGGACGUAUACGGUGUGACGCCUGCCCGGUGCCGGAAGGUUAAUUGAUGGGGUCAGCGCAAGCGAAGCUCUUGAUCGAAGCCCCGGUAAACGGCGGCCGUAACUAUAACGGUCCUAAGGUAGCGAAAUUCCUUGUCGGGUAAGUUCCGACCUGCACGAAUGGCGUAAUGAUGGCCAGGCUGUCUCCACCCGAGACUCAGUGAAAUUGAACUCGCUGUGAAGAUGCAGUGUACCCGCGGCAAGACGGAAAGACCCCGUGAACCUUUACUAUAGCUUGACACUGAACAUUGAGCCUUGAUGUGUAGGAUAGGUGGGAGGCUUAGAAGUGUGGACGCCAGUCUGCAUGGAGCCGACCUUGAAAUACCACCCUUUAAUGUUUGAUGUUCUAACGUUGACCCGUAAUCCGGGUUGCGGACAGUGUCUGGUGGGUAGUUUGACUGGGGCGGUCUCCUCCUAAAGAGUAACGGAGGAGCACGAAGGUUGGCUAAUCCUGGUCGGACAUCAGGAGGUUAGUGCAAUGGCAUAAGCCAGCUUGACUGCGAGCGUGACGGCGCGAGCAGGUGCGAAAGCAGGUCAUAGUGAUCCGGUGGUUCUGAAUGGAAGGGCCAUCGCUCAACGGAUAAAAGGUACUCCGGGGAUAACAGGCUGAUACCGCCCAAGAGUUCAUAUCGACGGCGGUGUUUGGCACCUCGAUGUCGGCUCAUCACAUCCUGGGGCUGAAGUAGGUCCCAAGGGUAUGGCUGUUCGCCAUUUAAAGUGGUACGCGAGCUGGGUUUAGAACGUCGUGAGACAGUUCGGUCCCUAUCUGCCGUGGGCGCUGGAGAACUGAGGGGGGCUGCUCCUAGUACGAGAGGACCGGAGUGGACGCAUCACUGGUGUUCGGGUUGUCAUGCCAAUGGCACUGCCCGGUAGCUAAAUGCGGAAGAGAUAAGUGCUGAAAGCAUCUAAGCACGAAACUUGCCCCGAGAUGAGUUCUCCCUGACUCCUUGAGAGUCCUGAAGGAACGUUGAAGACGACGACGUUGAUAGGCCGGGUGUGUAAGCGCAGCGAUGCGUUGAGCUAACCGGUACUAAUGAACCGUGAGGCUUAACCUU